RNAcentral lists this ribosomal RNA (392 nucleotides) under uncultured bacterium. RNAcentral describes it as "partial 16S ribosomal RNA". It matches the Rfam family "Bacterial small subunit ribosomal RNA", at positions 523 to 918 of the family's 1533-position model. The record is from RNAcentral.
AUACGGAGGAUCCGAGCGUUAUCCGGAUUUAUUGGGUUUAAAGGGUGCGCAGGCGGCCAUUUAAGUCAGCGGUUAAAUCGUGGGGCUCAACCCCAUUCUGCCGUUGAUACUGGGUGGCUUGAUUGCGGUCGAGGUUGGCGGAAUUCGUUGUGUAGCGGUGAAAUGCAUAGAUAUGACGAAGAACACCGAUUGCGUAGGCAGCUGACCAGAUCGCAAAUGACGCUCAUGCACGAAAGUGCGGGGACCGAACAGGAUUAGAUACCCUGGUAGUCCGCACAGUAAACGAUGAAUACUUGUUUUCGGCGAUAUAAUGUCGGAGGCAAAGCGAAAGCGAUAAGUAUUCCACCUGGGGAGUACGCCGGCAACGGUGAAACUUAAAGGAAUUGACGGGG